GCGGACGUAGUUUAGUGGUAAAACCCCAGCCUUCCAAGCUGGCUUUGUGGGUUCGAUUCCCAUCGUCCGCUCCA
RNAcentral lists this transfer RNA (74 nucleotides) under Ruminococcaceae bacterium OttesenSCG-928-I18. RNAcentral describes it as "tRNA-Gly". It matches the Rfam family "tRNA". From Rfam's summary of the family: Transfer RNA (tRNA) molecules are approximately 80 nucleotides in length. Lineage: Bacteria; Bacillati; Bacillota; Clostridia; Eubacteriales; Oscillospiraceae. The record is from RNAcentral.